Molecule: long non-coding RNA, 365 nt
Filed under: Prunus persica (peach)
Lineage: Eukaryota; Viridiplantae; Streptophyta; Magnoliopsida; Rosales; Rosaceae
Description: long non-coding RNA (PPER_LNC004879)
Source: RNAcentral
GAGCAUCUUGUAAAACGCAUCAUUAUCUUCCAUGUUUUGCUUGACUUGAAUCUUGGUUACUGCAAGCAUAUUUUGGCUUACAACAGCUUGAGUUCUUUGCAAGUCACUGCUAUCUUUUCUUUCAUUUGGUAUGGCAUGCUUUAUUUUCUGAUUUUCUCUCACUCUUCUUUCUUCUUCUUCUUCUUCUCCAAGACCCAAACCCGUGGGUAUUGUGCAUCAGUACAUAAGUCAUAUUUCGGAAGCUUGGAUCAGAAAACUUCCUUGAUGAAAGUUGUUCAUUUGCUGGAUUACUAUAGCCUGUAAAAUUUGUACAAGUUUUUGAAUUUUUCUGAUGCCUCAAAGUUGGUCUGCAACUUCUGUGUUCA